Molecule: ribosomal RNA, 363 nt
Filed under: uncultured euryarchaeote
Lineage: Archaea; Methanobacteriati; Methanobacteriota
Description: bacterial SSU rRNA
Rfam family: Archaeal small subunit ribosomal RNA
Source: RNAcentral
UCCGUAGCUUGCACUGUAAGUCUCUUGUGAAAUCGGGCAUCUUAAGUGUCCGUCGGGCAAGAGAUACUGCUUUGCUAGAGACCGGGAGGCGUAAGAAGUACAGAUAGGGUAGCGGUAAAAUGUGUUGAUCCUUUCUGGACUCACAGUCGCGAAGGCGUCUUACGAGAACGGAUCUGACAGUGAGGGAUGAAGGCUAGGGGCGCAAAGUGGAUUAGAUACCCAUGUAGUCCUAGCAGUAAACACUGCACACUGAACAUUAGGGCCUCUUAGAGAGGUUCUAGUGCUGUACCGAAGGGGGAAAGUGUGCUACCUGGGAAGUAUAGCCGCAAGGCCGAAACUUAAAGGAAUUGGCGGGGGAGCACA